UUAGAAAAAAAAUCUAGAACUCUCUGGGUUUUUCUCUCUCUGGUGCUCUCUCCUCCUCUCUCCGGCGUUCUCUUCUCCCUCGCCUCUCCCUUUCUCGCGCGUACAGUUCGGCGAUUUCUCGCCGGUGCCGGUCUCUCGCCGGCGAGUUCCCGGGCGGCGCCAUACUCCUCGGCGUUCCUCAACCUCUCCUUGUCGUCAUCGAAGCAGCAGCAGUUCUGGUUGUCACUUCUGUCAUCCCGUCCAGCCCCCUCACCGAUCGAGCUCAAGACCGGCGAAUCAAACCGAUUCUGCUUGCCGCUGCUGAUUACGGCUGUUCCAAGUGGUCCGAUCACUCUCAAGCCUUUCCUCGACGUGUCCCCAACCACUAGGAGAUCUUUAAGCAUUCUAUAAUCAUCCAUUGUAGGCUGUGGAGUUCGGUUUUGACGAAAUCAAGGCUUAAACGCACAAAGGUAUACUCCUCUAACCUGAGUUCGAUGAAACGAGGAUGCGUUAGGCGUCCGGGGCUAGAACUCGCCUUAGGCUUGCCAUGGAUAGAUGCUAAGGGAUGCUGCUGAUGUAUAUAUGGAGGAUGAUGAGUUGAUUGUGUGAUCGGAGGCUCGGAGUGAGCUGAUUGAAUGAUGGUUGCAUGUUCGGUU
Molecule: long non-coding RNA, 635 nt
Organism: Syzygium oleosum
Lineage: Eukaryota; Viridiplantae; Streptophyta; Magnoliopsida; Myrtales; Myrtaceae
Exons: 2
Source: RefSeq, a predicted model, not a curated record